CACAGCGAAACCUCCCGAGAAAGAAAGAACCGCUCGAUCUGAUACCAGCCGGCAAGAAGUACUGCAUUUCUUAUUAACGUACGGAAAUAAUCAGAGAAAAAACAAAACAAAAACAGAAAAAAAAAAGAAAAAGGUGUGCGCGGGCGAUUCAUGGGCAUCCGCGAAUCUAUAAAGGGGAGAUCUUUUCGGCGCAACACCGAUUCAGUGGACCACUCCACCAGUUCCAGCUUGAAUUCCCAGCAGCUUGUCAUUACUCCCACCAUGGAAGAACCCAUCGUGAUCGUUAGCCCUUCUGAAAAGACAACUUCUCUUAUGAGGCUGUUGCGCCGAAUGUGGCAAACAAUAUAUGUAAGGGAUUUUCUGGGAUGAUGAUGAGGAAGGAUUUACUGAAGAACAAUAGAGUUAUAAGAGCAAGAUAGCUGAAUAUAUAAUACUGCUCGAAUUUAUUACUUGAUAGUAUGAGCUGUUCGUGAGACUCACUCUCCUCCUGAAGGCAAUAUUUGCAAUA
Corylus avellana is the source of this 508-nucleotide non-coding RNA. Lineage: Eukaryota; Viridiplantae; Streptophyta; Magnoliopsida; Fagales; Betulaceae. The record is from RefSeq and is a predicted model, not a curated record.